GGGACAGGAGCCGCUUCAGGAAGUCCAAGAUCCACUGUGUAUCACCUGGGAUCCACGGGCCUGUAUUUACCAGGGACACGCUCUCACUAGGCUAAAGAUCGGACAGUGAAUUUUCUCAAGACCCAGGACGUCAGGAAAAGCCUGGUGACACUUCUCCAUGCUGGUCAUUUGUGUCCGUAAACCUAACAGCUCUGAAGGACUGAGGUACUGAAGCUGCAUCCUAACUUAAGAAGAAAAAGAGAAAAUAAUUUAAACAAGCAGAGGCAUUCCAUCAGCCAUUCCACUCCGCAGGACGUGCUAGGAAGGGGCCCUGAGGUGGAAGAAAGAAUAUCCUCUAUCAGAAACAGUUUAGGACCCGUUACCCUCUCAUAAGAAGGAAAAGGGUUGACUGUUCAGACUUAGCAGACCGUUUGAGACACCAAAGCAUUCUUUCCACUCCCGCCAACUGUUGGUGAAAGGGAAAUAAUACUGGUUUGUAAGAGCAAUGGCAGAAUUACGCCGUGAACACAAUUCUCAAUGCUUUCUGCUGUUGUGGACUUGGGGGCAGCAGUGAUGGCCCAGGUUCCUGCCGCCUACCUGGACGACCUGGACUGAGCUCCCAGAUUCAGCCGUGGCCGUCUCGGGACUUCGGGGAGUAAAUCGGCACGGGAAAGCCUGAUUCGGGCUCACACACACUUUUGUCAAAUAAGUAAGUUUUUUACAACAUUAUGAACAAAGUGACAAGUUGGUCUCGAAGUCUACCCAGUUCUAUGUUUCUCAACUCUCAUCCUUUUUUCACUGUUUUUACUUUCUCCAUGUCUUUGUCCCCAUCAAAAUCUUUCUCCCUAACUGACCAAUAUACAGACUAACCAGUGUACUUUUUAAAGAUUUUUUUUUUUUUUUUUUUUUUGAAACACAGAGUCAGAGAGGGAGAUACAGAGAGAUCCUUCACAUGCUUGUUAACUCCCCAGAUGGCCACAGCAGUCCGGGCUAGGCCAGGCCAAAGCCAGGAGCCAAGAGCCUCUCCCAGGUCUCUCCUAUUGGUGCAGGAGCCCAAGCACUUGGGCCAUCCUCCACUCCCCUCCCAGGUGCACAAGCAAGGAGUUGGAUUGGAAGUGGACCAGCUGGGACUUGACCUGAUGCCCAUAUGGGAUGUCUGGCAUUGAAGGCAGCAGCUUAACCUGUUACGCCAAAUGUCAGCUCCCCAAACUGUUUUUCUUUAAAAAUUGUAGUGUUUAUUGAACAUAUUUUUCUUACUCAAGUGACCAUUUUACAUUUCUUUCUAGAAAAAAAAAUCCUCCAAAAUUAAGAUUACCUGCAAGAUGUUUUUCAUUUCUUCCCAUUCAUUACUUCUCUCAAUAGAAAACAAAAGACCACUCUCUUAAGCCUAAAAAGCAUUCACAUAGUGAAUCCAACAAGGCUACCAAGUGGGCUUGCACGCUGCCUUUCUCUGUCAAGAGACACUGCCACAGGCAGCAACUGGUGGCUGCCGAUCAGCUGCCUGCCUUCCUGGCGUGGGAGCAGAAGCAGUCACCAGUUGUGCCAGCAUCAGCUUUCACCUGGAAUUGCGUGUAUUCAACAUGGAUUAAGUAACAGUAGUAUCCGAAGCACUUAAUUAUCAGGUACUAAAAUAUUCACUUUAAAUGUGGCAGAGAGACAGGUUUUCCAUUCUUGCUUUACUUCCCUAAUGCCUAAAACAGCUAGGAAUGGACCAGGCCAAAGCCAGGCGGCAGGAACUUGAUCUAGGUCUUCACGUGGGUGGCAGGGACCCAACUACUUAGGCUGUGACCUGCCGCCCCCAGGGUGCACUUGAGAAGGAAGCUGGGCUUGAACCCAGCACUCUGAUACGGGCUGUGGGACCCACGCACUGUCUUCACUGCAGAGCAAAACCCUGCCCCACAUUCGAGCUUUGUUUUUGAAACAGAAGGGCAUCAGAGGUCCUAAAAGUGUUGAGACAUAAAGGUCUCAAGGAGGAGGCAUUGCUGUGUUAUUGCUUCUAAUUUAAUUGAAGAAAACUAAUAGUCCAUAGAGGCCUUAUCAAUAAGCAGUCAAAUAAAACUAUACAGUACAUGGAUUUCUAAUAGCUUCAGGUCAAUUUUAUAGGUCCCCUUAUUCUGAAAACUGUACAUGUUAGUAAAAAGUCAUACUUGAAAAAUUGAAGUGCACUGAAACUUUUAUUAACAGGAGCAGAGGCUUCCGUUCUACCUGGAUGAGUUUCUGUUCUGUUCUAACCAGAUGAGGGUUAUCGCUGACCCAAAUAUCCCCAUCACAUGUCCCCCGGCCAUCACCCCUGACGUGGGAUUUUUCAGAACAUCAUUAGAAAUGUAAAAAUGUUAAAUCCUGCUACAAACUUGAUACUUUAAAAACUGCCCAGUUAUUUGAUAUGUUAUCAUGAGUAAAGAAGAAACAUGGAUUAAAUAACCAACGUACUGUUCA
Oryctolagus cuniculus (rabbit) is the source of this 2415-nucleotide non-coding RNA. NCBI's taxonomy places the organism in Eukaryota, Metazoa, Chordata, Mammalia, Lagomorpha, Leporidae. The record is from RefSeq and is a predicted model, not a curated record.